CCUUCCCUUUCAUGAAUAUGACCUACCGAAUUAGACUAUUUACCGGAUUUGUAAUCACUUAAGCAACACGACGGGUGCCACAUGUGGAGCAGGAUCUGCUUACCCUUCCGGAGCACCUGAGAUCACCCCUAGUUUUUGGUGGGGUUCGUGUGUUGUUUAUUCUUUAGUUUUCUAUGUUGUGUCGUGUGUACUAUUGUUUUUCUGUUUGUCUUUUUUAUUUUUAGCCAUGGCGUUGUCAGUUUGUUUUAGAUUUAUGAGUUUGACUGUCCCUUUGGUAUCUUUCGUCCCUCUUUUAUAAA
RNAcentral lists this long non-coding RNA (299 nucleotides) under Mytilus galloprovincialis (Mediterranean mussel). The record is from RNAcentral. Lineage: Eukaryota; Metazoa; Mollusca; Bivalvia; Mytilida; Mytilidae.